ACUCCUACGGGAGGCAGCAGUGGGGAAUAUUGCUCAAUGGGCGCAAGCCUGAAGCAGUGACGCCGCGUGAGGGAUGAAGGCCUUCGGGUUGUAAACCUCUUUCAGCUCCGAAGAAGCGAAAGUGACGGUAGGAGCAAAAGAAGCACCGGCUAACUACGUGCCAGCAGCCGCGGUAAUACGUAGGGUGCAAGCGUUGUCCGGAUUUAUUGGGCGUAAAGAGCUCGUAGGCGGUCUGUCGCGUCUGCUGUGAAAACUCGGGGCUUAACCCCGGGCCUGCAGUGGGUACGGGCAGACUAGAGUGCGGUAGGGGAGACUGGAAUUCCUGGUGUAGCGGUGAAAUGCGCAGAUAUCAGGAGGAACACCGGUGGCGAAGGCGGGUCUCUGGGCCGUACCUGACGCUGAGGAGCGAAAGCAUGGGUAGCGAACAGGAUUAGAUACCCUGGUAGUCCAUGCCGUAAACGUUGGGCGCUAGGUGUGGGGCUCAUUCCACGAGUUCCGUGCCGCAGCAAACGCAUUAAGCGCCCCGCCUGGGGAGUACGGCCGCAAGGCUAAAACUCAAAGGAAUUGACGGGGCCCCGCACAAGCGGCGGAGCAUGCGGAUUAAUUCGAUGCAACGCGAGGAACCUUACC
RNAcentral lists this ribosomal RNA (630 nucleotides) under uncultured bacterium. RNAcentral describes it as "bacterial SSU rRNA". It matches the Rfam family "Bacterial small subunit ribosomal RNA", at positions 335 to 975 of the family's 1533-position model. The record is from RNAcentral.